GCCCAUUCCUGCCGGGUGGGCACAUUUUUGUCCUUGACUGCAAAUAAUGAAGUUUCUGGUGCUUUUCCUUUCCCUGUUGGCUGCCCCGGGAUGUGUCCUGUCCCAAGUGCAGCUGGUCCAGUCCGGUCCAGGCGUGGUGAAGCCCGGAGAGACCCUCGCACUGACCUGCUCUAUCACCGGUGAUUCAGUCACUAACAGCUACUGGGAAUGGGUCCGACAGGCUCCCGGGAAAGGGCUGGAGUGGAUGGGACAGAUCGACUGGUACAGCUCCAACUGGCGCACAUACUACGGCCCGUCUUUCCAGAGCCGCGCAACUCUCAGUGCAGAUUCCUCCAAGAACCAGUUCUCGCUGCAGCUCCGCUCGCUGACAGCUGCAGACACCGGCACCUAUUACUGCGCCAGACACACAGUGACUCAGAGCAGAGCAGGGACUGGCACAAAAAGGGGAAGCGGAUUCUGA
Molecule: non-coding RNA, 460 nt
Organism: Chelonoidis abingdonii (Abingdon island giant tortoise)
Lineage: Eukaryota; Metazoa; Chordata; Testudines; Testudinidae
Source: the annotation of a RefSeq genome assembly